Molecule: non-coding RNA, 532 nt
Organism: Pogona vitticeps (central bearded dragon)
Lineage: Eukaryota; Metazoa; Chordata; Lepidosauria; Squamata; Agamidae
Source: RefSeq, a predicted model, not a curated record
AGAUGAGGAUCUUGACAUCCCUGCUCUGUUUGACAAGGAAGAUGCUGGAAAUGUAGAGAAAACAGGAAGAUUGAUAAGUUAUGCAAAUUAUUAUCAAGGCCUGUGGGACUGUACUGGUAGCCACCCAGAUGAGCUUUCUUUCCAAAGAGGAGACUUAAUAUACAUUGUUAGCAAGGAAUAUAACAUGUAUGGCUGGUGGGUCGGAUUGCUGAACCGCACCGUGGGGAUUGUCCCCAAAGAAUAUCUUGUUCCUGCCUAUGAUGUGGAAUAAAGAUAAACACUAGGCAAUUGUGUUUCAUCUCUGGCCUGGGGAUACAACAGAACCACCUCCUCCUAGCACCCUCUUUGCUAUCAUUAGGAAAAAGUUAUCUACCAGCACACAAAAUGCAACUUCAGGCCUUUUUUUCACUGAGAUAUAUGAUACUUGAUAAUCCAUUUUACAUUUUGGCUAAAGUGCUUUAUGUUUGUUUGUUUGUUUGUUUGCUUAGCAGAAAACUGGAGGAAUGCUAUUUUGAUGGUAUUUCAAAUAAAA